This 451-nucleotide ribosomal RNA is filed under the name uncultured prokaryote. RNAcentral's name for it is "bacterial SSU rRNA". It matches the Rfam family "Bacterial small subunit ribosomal RNA", at positions 355 to 796 of the family's 1533-position model. The record is from RNAcentral.
UCGAGAGGCUUCGGCAAUGGGGGAAACCCUGACCGAGCGACGCCGCGUGCGGGAUGAAGGCUUUCGGGUUGUAAACCGCUUUCAGGUGGGAAGAAAUGCUGGCGAGUAAAUAAUUCGCCGGAACUGACGGUACCACCAGAAGAAGCUCCGGCUAACUCCGUGCCAGCAGCCGCGGUAACACGGGGGGAGCAAGCGUUGUUCGGAUUCAUUGGGCGUAAAGGGCGCGUAGGCGGCUUUGCAAGUCUGACGUGAAAUGUACCGGUUCAACCGGGGCGCUGUGUCGGAAACUGCAUGGCUUGAGGUCGAGGGAGGAGAGUGGAAUUCCUGGUGUAGCGGUGAAAUGCGUAGAUAUCAGGAGGAACACCCGUGGCGAAGGCGGCUCUCUAUCUCGAUUCUGACGCUGAGGCGCGAAAGCCAGGGGAGCAAACGGGAUUAGAUACCCCCGUAGUCC